CUGUAGUGAGAUGUGCAGGUAAAGAAAGCACAGCAGCACACUGAUGGAGUCUGAUCAGUUUUUAUUCCCUUGUAAAUAGAAUAUCAAUAAAAACACACCUUAAAUAUAACAUAAGGUUUAUCCAACAGAUGAAAAAGUAACAAAAGGCCUAUGUAGAGUUUCUACAUAGCGAUUACAGAACAGUCUACUGUCCAAAAAAGGCACUAAAUCCUGAAAUAGAAAAGAAGCAAAUAAACAAAGAAAAAUCAAUUUAAACUGAUACAACAAAGAUCCUGCUGAGGUUUGAUAUUUUUCAUUUUACAGAGAUUUAUUGAAGAGCUUAUUGCCACAGUGAAAUGGCAACCACUGCUUGUUUUCCUCCUGGCUGAUUACAUGAGAACAUCAACACCGGAGCGUCUCCAUUUCACGUUGACCACAUGGAUGAUAGAUGUGUUUUUCACCUUAAUUUAAAAAAAAAAAAAACCCCAAAAGACAGAUUUUUUUUUUUUUAACUCUUUAAACGUGAAACUGCAUAUCACAACACUGAGCAAUGAAGGAGGAAUGAAAGCACCUCACAUGAGAGGCAUCAGUCUCAACCUUAACAUGCACCCUGAUUUUGUUAAAGGAAGCAUCGCACAUCCAAACUUUCCUGUUGAAUAAAGUAUUUGCUGUACUAUGUGGACCACCGGCCAAAGUGACGGCGGGAUAUGGCACAGGUAAAGACGAGUCAAGGUGUAGUCAGUGCCAAACAUAUGCACAGGUAGAUGUUCCAAAAAACAAACAAACAAAGAAAAACAGUUCAACAAGGCAACAGAGGACUGAAGGCAGAUGGAAACACGCAGCACGAGCAAAGGCUUUUCUGUUUCUGUCCUACUGCUUUUUAUUUUAUGAGAACUUUAACUGUAUUAGGCAGUUUCUGGCACAAAAAGAGUCCAUUUAGAUCAAAACAGACAAACAAAAGCACAGUAAACACCAGAAAAGACUGAGGUUUCUGUUAUUAGAAGCAAAUAUGGGUUCUUUAUGUAAGAAGGUUUAGCUUAUUUCUUAACGUUUAAAUCAGUGUUUACUCUCACUUUUGUAAGGUCUCCUGGUGGUGCUUAACAGAUUAUUGACACAGAUCCACCUCAGAUUUAUCUAUCCAAUCGUUUUAAUAGACCGCGAUGGGUAAUCAAACUAAGACUGUGACCUUGCCUUUAUUUUUCAUUUGCAGUUUUCUUUCCCUUUUUCUUAUGUACAAAAUAGCUAAAAUGACACAAACUCACACUAACUGGCUGCUUCAGACCUCCAAAAUGCAAUGUCAUGAGAAGACCAUGAAGGCAAAAAAGAAUAAUCUCAAAAUAGCACAAUGGCCUAAAUGAAUCCAUAGAUUCAUUUCAGAAAGGCUUCUGCUUAGCAGAUUAAAAAGAAAAAAACUAAAUAAAAAACGAUCUGUAACCCUUUGAUGGGUUUGUAAAUUUUGGUGUAAAUCAUUAAAUGACAGAAAGCUACAUAACUGACUAAUAAUGUCUCAAAUGCUUAAAGCAAAGACACCCAGGACAGCUCUGCUGCCGCACAAUUAAAGAAAUCCUCCACCAUGCAACAAAGUUUCUCAGACAUUUAGCCCGAAACACUGAAAUCCACCAGAAUGACAGAGAGACUAUUUCGUAUUUUAUGGACCCUGGUGGACGUUGGAGCUCAUAAAUGAGUAAAUUCCCUUUAAACGUGAUAUUUACUGGCUCUAGUUUGAGGAGAAAUUUCCCUUUUGAAAAGCCGCUGACACUUCUGUUGUCAGCCAGCGUGAAUCAUCUUUACGGCCUUGUCACAGUUUGAUCCAGACGGGACUGACACAAAUCAGCUCGACAGUUAGUUUGAAGCUUUGAUUCACAUUGAAGCAGCUGUGAACAAACCUGCGGGGAGUAGCUUAUAGCUGAAUGGGAGGGAGCGAGGUAUAUAUGUUGAGUUUUUAAACUCUGAACUAGUAGCUUAGCCUGUAAAGCACCUGGUGACGAUGAACCGGUUUGAAUGAAGCCGCUUUAGUGUAACAGAACAUCAUGUUAUUAACUCGCCUGCAUUAGUACGGUUAAAAAUGUACAGCCAUUGUAGAAGUCUUCUUCAUGCACUGAUCCUCUGUUAGUGCGCUGAGAAAAAUGAGGCACUUAAGCAUGAAGCUGAGGUGUGCUGCACCUUCAUAAGCAUUUAGGUUUCUAUCAAGUGUUACACUGCACUGUAGUAUUAUUAAUGUUUUAGCCUUUGAGAAGGUUUUAGUGUCAGCUGUAAAAGGUAAGCAAAUGUAAGAGCUGGACUGAUAGUGUUGAAUGAUAGUGUCAGCAGUGAUCCCCCACUGAGCUGCACUCACUUUUUUUUAUUUUGUUUUAAAGGUUAGUAAGUGUCUGUCUGUGUGCGUGUUGCUCAUACUGGAGACUGCAGUCAUCCUUACUUUUUUUUAGCGUGUUUUAACCCAUUGUUUUGCUUUUCUCGCCUACAAACUUGAGCUCAUUUUCAGCCAAAGCCAGAGUCAAAAUUUUGUCAAAAUCUUCAGUUAAAAUCCUAGAUCCUUCAGACAUACUUGUGACCGUAUAUCUUUCAAUUAUCUUAAUGUUCAUCAGCG
Molecule: long non-coding RNA, 2566 nt
Organism: Astatotilapia calliptera (eastern happy)
Lineage: Eukaryota; Metazoa; Chordata; Actinopteri; Cichliformes; Cichlidae
Source: Ensembl